AUGAACCUCAGUGUUCAGUAUUGGCUUUGCAUAUUGGACAAGGGUCUAAGAUACAUUAAAAGAAACCUCUCCACAUAUGGUGUGCAACCAAGCAUGCUUUUAGAAGAAGACCAUCCAGUGGACAUAACAGAUUUUGCUUUGCAUCCACUUAGCAUGAUACCUUGUACAACUAAUUUUUCAAUCAAGAAGGAAUUGCCAAGUCUAACACUUGGUGAACUUAUCAGAGAUCCCAGUGUUACGCCGAAACAAGAUUUCAUUAUAAUUGCAUGGGAAUCAAGGAUACCUCCUCAUAAAUCAUUUCCUCAUUUUGUUACAAGUCAUGCUCAGGGCGGACAUGAAGUUAGUGCCUUGCCAGGGAGGAAGCGAAGAGGAAUGUGA
RNAcentral lists this ribosomal RNA (378 nucleotides) under Triticum aestivum (bread wheat). Its description in RNAcentral is "partial small subunit ribosomal RNA". The record is from RNAcentral. Lineage: Eukaryota; Viridiplantae; Streptophyta; Magnoliopsida; Poales; Poaceae.